Cyanistes caeruleus (blue tit) is the source of this 1902-nucleotide non-coding RNA. The record is from RefSeq and is a predicted model, not a curated record. NCBI's taxonomy places the organism in Eukaryota, Metazoa, Chordata, Aves, Passeriformes, Paridae.
GCUGCACCAACAAUUGGACCAAAUCCUGGCAAAAUAUUGACAACUCCUGGUGGAAAGCCAGCCUGUCAAAACAGGAAUGAAUGAAUGAAGAUGUUUGACAACUCCCCAGUGAAGAUGAGACUAUUUGUGCCACAGACUGAGAUGAUCAGUUUGGUUUUCCAAGUUAUCUUUCACAGAUGCUAGCAGUGGUUCACAGACUAUAGGAAGAUUCAUCAGAUCUGACAGAAGCAAAGUAGAAAUCAAAAUACAGAGAAGUACAUACAAGCAAAACUGUCUAAGUGCUCAAGAGGAACACAGAGGAGUCAGCUAAAAAUACCAGCUUGUACUCGGUAGUACUGUGAGAGGAAAAGAAAACUUCAACAAAAACAGCAACAACAGAAGAUUGGGAGGUUUCAGAUUUAUUAGCACACUGAAUAGAAAGACAAGAUUUAAUAGUGGGGGUUUUUUUGGUUUUGUUGUCUUAUCUUUGGUGAGCUGAUGGUAAGUGAACAUAAAGAGCACCACUGUUUAACAGCGGCUUUGCCCCAAAAUAGCUUCAUGAGAAUGACAAAUUUAUGGUGUGAAAGCAGAGGAAUAAAGAGAAGUGUUAAACGAAGAAGAACUAAUUGAUCCCCUGAAGAUUUGUGAAUGGACUUAUGAUUUUACACUACUGAAAACUGUGUUAGCAUAAAGUUUGCACUGAGGAAGGCAUGCUGAAAAUGUGCCUUCCUUUCACCCACCAUAGCCCACCUUACCGAAAAAAAAAAUCAGGUUUUAUCCUAUAAGGUACUUGAAACCAAGAAUAAGCAGAGAAUAUUUCUUCUCCUUAAUCUGGCAGUGCCUUUUGGUUGCUGACCUAAUUUCUGUGUACCUGUGGGGCUAAGGACUGAGAAAGAAGCAUUCACUGACCAGGGAGAAGGAGAUUAGGGAACAGGAAAUUUGCUGAAUACAUGAAUUUAUGGUGUGGUCUGCACUUUUGUGUGAUUAAAUGUGAAGUGCAAGCAGCAAAACUGGGAUUUACGAAUCUCAGUCUAAAUGACUGUGGAAAACUUUGAGUCCUUGUAGGAAUGUCUACUCCUGAAAUAUUAUUAUUGUCAUUUCCUUGGUGAAAAUAAGAUAGUGAAGAUAAACACCAGUCAGUGCACACUGCAAUUUUAAUAAGGUGAAACACUAAAAUGAGUAACACUGCAAGACAAGUUACAGGUUGUUUCCCUUCUGAAAAUUUUAGAAGGCACAUUUUCAGUUUAUCUGCUUGCCUCACUUGGGUAGUUUGGUGCUUUGCUGUAGAGAGGCGAGUGAGAGUACUGCAGAUACUGUCACACAGUGAAACACCAGGGAAAUAUCUGGGCAACAGCAAUGGGCCUUUAUCCCUGAGUGUGCCCUCAUGUGCAAUGAACACGUGCACCAUGAAGCCAAAAAGAAUCCAUGUAAUGAAUGUUUGUUUUCCUUAAUGCUUUUCCAGAGAUUUGUUUUAUGCUGAUGAAAGACGAGUACACUUAUCUUAAUGACUGUACCUACAUAAAAUCAUUUUCUGCUUUUUUGCCAUGUCGUGUAAUUAUAGCACUUGGUACAUCUAGUCCGGACUGCAAAUGAAUAUGUUUGCAUCAGACAAUGCAGCCUGUAUUUGUAAAACAGCUGGGAGGGAAGGGCAGGAAGAAGAGAGUUGUUGAAGAAAAAAUAAUGGAAUGGUCAUUCCGUGGAUUUUGUCUGCCCAACCAGCGUAAUACCUCAGGGUUUUUAUGACUCCCUGGAGAUCUACAUAGAAAGCUUGCAAGAAUGGUUUGCCACUGUUCAGUGAUUCCAUAGUCUGCAGGACAAGAAAAAGUUAAGAGAUCAAGAAUUGCCCUGUCCCUUUCGACCAAGUCUGCUAACUUAUCCAAGAGAUGGCCUCUUUCCGAGGCAUCCAUUCUCCUCCAAACGGAC